This 239-nucleotide long non-coding RNA is filed under the name Eucalyptus grandis. RNAcentral's name for it is "long non-coding RNA (EGRA_LNC006200)". The record is from RNAcentral. Lineage: Eukaryota; Viridiplantae; Streptophyta; Magnoliopsida; Myrtales; Myrtaceae.
GUCCAGCCACCGCCUCCGCCUUUGCCUCCGCCUCCCCCUCUGCCCCCCAAAAGCCUCAUUGGUCACAACUGCUGCUCAAAUAUGCCUCUAGCACGUCGCCUCCCUCAAGAGCCUCGCCGGUCGCAGCUGGGUCCUGUCGCCGCCUCCGCCUCUACUAUUGCCUCUCGGAGCCCCAACGAGCUCAAGUUAAAUCUUGCACGCGCUUCGCUAUUCUCUCACCUGAGUUUUGGGAAAUCAAG